AGUGAACGCUGGCGGCAGGCCUAACACAUGCAAGUCGAACGGCAGCACAGUAAGAGCUUGCUCUUACGGGUGGCGAGUGGCGGACGGGUGAGGAAUACAUCGGAAUCUACUUUUUCGUGGGGGAUAACGUAGGGAAACUUACUCUAAUAUCGCAUACGAUCUACGGGUGAAAGCAUGGGAUCUUCGGACCUUGCGCGAAUGAAUGAGCCGAUGUGGGAUUAGCUAGUUGGGGGGGUAAAGGCCCACCAAGGCGACGAUCCGUAGCUGGUCAGAGAGAAUGGUCGGCGGCACUGGAGCGGGAACACGGUCCAGGCUCCUACGGGAGGCAGCAGUGGGGAAUGUUAGACAGUGGGCGCGAGCCUGGUCCAGCCAUACCGCGUGGGUGAAGAAGGCGUUCGGGUUGUGAAGCCCUUUUGUUGGGAGAGAAAAGCAGCAGGUUAAUACGCCGCUGUUCUGACGGUACCCAAAGAAUAAGCACCGGCUAACUACGUG
Molecule: ribosomal RNA, 492 nt
Filed under: uncultured bacterium
Lineage: Bacteria
Description: partial 16S ribosomal RNA
Rfam family: Bacterial small subunit ribosomal RNA
Source: RNAcentral